UAGGGAAUCUUCCACAAUGGGCGAAAGCCUGAUGGAGCGACGCCGCGUGUGUGAUGAAGGGUUUCGGCUCGUAAAACACUGUUGUAAGAGAAGAAUGACAUUGAGAGUAACUGUUCCAUGUGUGACGGUAUCUUACCAGAAAGGAACGGCUAAAUACGCGCCAG
This 164-nucleotide ribosomal RNA is filed under the name uncultured bacterium. RNAcentral describes it as "partial 16S rRNA". It matches the Rfam family "Bacterial small subunit ribosomal RNA", at positions 355 to 511 of the family's 1533-position model. The record is from RNAcentral.